This 6028-nucleotide long non-coding RNA is filed under the name Brassica napus (rape). RNAcentral's name for it is "long non-coding RNA (BNAP_LNC020613)". The record is from RNAcentral. Lineage: Eukaryota; Viridiplantae; Streptophyta; Magnoliopsida; Brassicales; Brassicaceae.
CAGAAGUACCCAUUCGCUGUGUUCUACUGCCACAAGGCGAUGAUGACGAGCGUUUACGCGGUUCCCCUCGAAGGAGAGAACGGGUUGCGUGCUAAAGCGGUUGCGGUAUGUCACAAGAACACCUCGGCGUGGAACCCAAACCACUUGGCCUUUAAAGUCCUUAAGGUGAAGCCUGGGAGUGUUCCGGUCUGCCAUUUCCUCCCUGAAACCCAUGUUGUUUGGUUCAGCUACUAGAUAUGCUUUUCUAUAUUUUGUAAUAAUAUAUAAGAAGAUCUAUAUUCUGGGAUGUUUUGUAUGUAUACAUAUAUAUAGUAAUGUGUGGUUUUCAUAUAAUCAAUGACCGAAGGCAUCUUAUAUGUUUUGCUUUACGGAGUCUUCUGUGACCUACUUGCUUCUUGUUGUUUAGCAAGAACUAGGUUAAGACCCGCGCCUUGCGCGGAAUGAAUAUUAAAUAUAAAUUAUUUUUAAGUAUUAUAUAUUUUUUACAUAUUAUGAAAUAAUAAAUAUAUAUUGAAUAAUUAAAAAUUUAGUAACUAUACCGUAUAUAAUUAAAUUGGUACAAAUACUUAAAUAAAUUUUAUUAAUCGAGACAAACACUUUUUCUAUUUUAUAUAUGCUAUAAAAUUAAGUUUACAUGAUAUUAACAUAGAUAUAUAGUACAUUUUUAAUAGUGACAUCUGUUUAAAAAAUAUUUUAUACUCAUAUUAUUUUGAUAGUUUGUAUUUCUUUAUAACAAAAAAAAUAAAUCAAUGAUAACAAUAAAAAAUUUGUGGGAUGUUUAAUAGUUUUAGUAAUUUAUAAUUUUAUAAACAUUCAAUGCAAAAUCUAAAAUCUAAAUAUUAAGUUUUCAAUAAUUGUUCAAAAUGUUUAUCAAAAAGAUUUAAAGCAAAUUCGAAAUUAAUUUAGUUAUCCUCAACUAUUUUCAAAUACUUUUAAUAGAAUUUUAAAUUAAAAAUAUAUAUUUAGUGAUGUUAUAUGUAUAUAUAAUUAAUAUUUUUAUAUAUUAAGGUACCCGUUCGGUUCUCGGUUCGGUUCCGGUUCGGUUCGGUUAUUUCGGAUAUAAAAAUAUAGGAACCGUUCGGUAUUUGAGGGUAUUGGUACGGUUCCGGUUUCGGGUAUUUCGGUUCGGUUCCGGUUUGGUUCUUCGGUUCCGGUUAUUUUGCCCAGACCUAGUUUUUUGGUUGUUUGGAAUUAAAAUAUCUUAUGGGUUUUCUAAAUCAAUAUAAUUGAUUUGACUAAAGCUAUCUUGGAUAACAAAAAGAAGGAUUGCAAGUUUAAUAACUUCUCCUUUAGACUUUAAUUUCAACUAAAUUAUAAUCAGUCUUUUAUCUAUAUCAUCUUAGAUAUAAACGUAAGGGUUUAUUAGAAUAAAUAAACAGUUUCAACACUAUUUAAUAUGUGAUUUAAUAAACAAAAGAACACGUAGGAGUUUUAGGAUUUAAAGAGAUUGGAGACAAUAGUUAAUGAAUAUGAAAAGAAUACGAAGCAGAUGAAGAAAAAUGAUUCGAGCAAAUUAGUGGCAACACAUAGCUAAGCGAGAUAAAAAUAUCAAUAAAAAAAUGAAAGAAGAAUGAACAGAGUUAAGUUAUUACACAAGCCAAAACUAAGACAAAUCAAACGACAGAACGUGAAAACAAAUGUAAACAAGACAAGUGGAGAGGGUAAAGAUAAAAUGUAUUGAAAAACUGAAUGCUAGAUUAGUAAGUAAGAGGUAAAAAAAAUUAAAAUGCAAAAACUCCGUGCCUUGACGCGGAUAACGAUCCGUAGUGAAAUGAAAAAAAGAGAGGAUAAGAACUCUUGCUGCGCAUGAUGUUGCCUUUUUCAUGUACGUUUUAUGUACAUCACUAACUAAUAUAAGUAUGUGUUACUCUACUUUUGUUGGGGUGAGAGUUUCUACAAAAUUAUUUGUAAAAUUUGUAUGAUCUUGAAUCAAUAACAUUAAAUACAUCGAUGUACACCCAUUCUCCAACCAUUGAUAAUAAAAUAAGUCGAACACUAAUAAUCAAAACGAACGUGUUGGUAAGGUAUAAAUGAGUUAGUUGUUCGUUUUAAUUUUCUCUUUGUCUGAAAAGUCCACACGCAAGUUGAAGUUACGACUACGAUAUACACACUCUAUAAAGGUUUGGGUUUGAAUCCUUUAUUGAUCGAAGUGAACAAAUCCAUGCCCACAUGACACCGAAGAACCGUCGUAACAUGCCGGUGACCAACCUUCAUUAAUGCCUCUCUAACUUUGGAAUAAUUAUUUGGUUUUGAAAAGGAAAUUACCAUAUCUCUUAAGGAUUUUUUUAUCAUAGAACAUACUUUUACGUGCAGAUUUUUUAUCUAUCUCAUUAUCGAUUUAUUUUCUUGAGUGGUCAAAGACUCGAAGUCACCUACUGGAUAGUGCCAGUCUUGAAAUUUUCGGGUUGAAUACAAAACUAAAUAUAUAGGUCCUCAAAACAUUCCCAACUCAUUAUUAUUUUCAACUCUAUAAUAAUAUUGAGAAGUAAAAUUGCUCCAACACACUUCUAUUUUUCCUUUAAAAUAAAUAUUGCUAUUUUUCUAUUUAUAGAAGAAGAAAUAACAUUUUUCUAUUUUUACUAGCUCUAUAUUUAGAUAUUGAUAUUUUAGAAAAAUAAAUUAGAACAUAUCUCAUCUCUAUUAUAGAGUUCUUCUAUAUUAGAGGUAAAGAUAACAAAAUACAUUGGAGAUAGUCUGAGUGAUAUAUUGAAAUUGAAGUUUACAAUUAAAAAUUUACAAUAUCCCUAAAACUUAUAAAAGUAUCAAUUCUGAAACUAUCUUUCUAUUUCAUUUUAUGUAAAAGAAAGAAAAAAAUACUCAAGCAUUUAUAAUGAUAUUUGUUUGAAAUAGGUUUAAGUAAAACUCAUUUUCCUUUCUUGUGCUAAUAACAAAAAAAAAUAUAAACCUAAAAACUAUAUAAAUUGUAUGCCGCCCCAUACCAAUGUAUCUUAGGCACGUGUUCAAGGUCGGGCCUGCUGCUGGAGUAAAUGGACAUGCACCAAGGAAGAAAAUAUCAAGGUCUCCAGGAAUACAGAGAAAAUACUUACACAAUAUUCAACGCAUAAGUAAGAUAGUGAACAACAAAAUAAUAAGGCAAUCACAAAGGAUUGUGUGGUUGCAAACGAGUGUGUUUGUGAUAUAAGUGUUUAUCCUGAUAAAAUCAUAUAUAUUUUUCUGGAAAAUGGAGAGGCCCUAUUGAUUCAUAUUUUAUAAGAGAGUAUCCAUUCAGAUACCAAAUAUUUGAAUGAUGUGGUGUUUGGAUAAUCCACAUGUGGGCGUUUCGCGUGAACCACACUAAAUAGGUUCGGCUAGUUAGACUUCCUUCAAGACACUAUCAGAAUAUCCCCAGCGAGUAGGUUGACAUGGUCGCACAAUAAUACCUUGACAGCCCAAAUUAAGGACCUACGUGAUAGAAGACGACGUCGUAUGUAACAUAACACACAGCAAAAAAAAUACAGGUGAAGUUAAUUAAAAACACUUGUCCACACAUGGGAACAAGAACAGUUAAGGAGUUGAAGGCAACUGGUGGUUAGGGAGCUAGUAUGCGACUUAAUUUAACCGGCUUAAAUAGAUUGGUAAGUGUUAGCCGUCUAUAUCCAUACUUUAAUAUACUUCAACCUCAGAUCUUCUACUAAAACCCUUGCAUUAUAAAUUCUACGUACACUCCAACUUCUUCUCCUCAAAUUCAUCAAAAAUACAUUUCUAUUCUAACUCCCACAGAAAUGGCGAUUCGUCUUUCGUUGAUAUGUCUUCUUGUUUCAGUCACGGCCAUUGCGGCUGAUUUAACACCGGAGCGUUAUUGGAUCUCUGCCUUACCAAACACUCCCAUACCAAACUCUCUUCGCCAUCUUUUUACGUCAGGUUGAAAUUCUUUUUCACUUUAACAUGCCAUAUUUGUUUCCUUCUAGUUUUGUGAAACACUGUUUAUUUCUAAUUUCUCUACGAUCUGCUUAUGUAUAUAUAUUAUGAUUUUCUAUAGUUUAAAAUGUUUUUCCAAGUUUUAUAUUUACGGAGAUAUAAGAAAAGGAAAAUGAUAGACCUAAAUGCAAAGAAAAAUAUGGUUGAGUCCUUAUUACAAUUCCUAUAUAUUAUACUACUAUUUAUAUAUAUUAUAUAACAUGUAUUUGAAGUUGUGUCACAAGCUGAUUGGUUACACAAUCGCUAGUAAUUUUUGGAAGUGUACGUUAAUAGCCAAUUGAUGUCUCCUUACCAAAUUAUUUCAUUGUUGAAGAUUUUAGCGACGAGAAAAGCACCAACGUCCAAGUAGGGAAAGGAGGCGUGAACGUUUACACCGGAAAAGGUAAGCAUGGCGGAGGAACCGCCGUGAACGUUGGAAAGGGAGGUGUACAUGUGGACACCGGCAAGGGUAAGGGAACACACGUGAGCGUUAGCGGUGGAAAAGGUCACGGCGGAGGCGUCGGCGUCCACACCGGGAAGCCAGGAAAGAGAACCGACGUAGGAGUUGGCAAAGGUGGCGUUAUAGUGCACACGCGCCACAAGGGAAAGCCGGUCUACGUCGGCGUGAAACCAGGACAUAACCCUUUUGUGUAUAACUAUGCAGCGAGCGAGACUCAGCUCCACGACGAUCCCAAAGCGGCUCUCUUCUUCUUGGAGAAAGACAUGGUUCCCGGAAAAGCUAUGAACCUCAGGUUUAAUGCGGAGGACGGCUACGACGGCAAAACUGCGUUCUUGCCGCGCGGAGAGGCGGAAACGGUGCCGUUCGGGUCUGAGAAGUUCUCGGAGAUCUUGAACACGUUCUCGGUGAAACCUGGCUCGGGAGAAGCUGAGAUGAUGAAGAAAACGAUUGAGGAGUGUGAAGCGAAAAGAGUCGGUGGAGAGGAGAAGUAUUGUGCUACGUCUUUGGAGUCGAUGGUGGACUUUAGCGUUUCUAAACUUGGCAAAGAUCACGUCCGUGCUGUCUCCACUGAGGUACAAAAAAAAAGAAACCAUAAACUAAUCAAAUCUAUUUUUCGGUAUAGGAUUAGAUGAACCGGACUUGAGCAUAGCCAAAUGAAGUAGUUUUAAGUUUCUAAUUUUUUUUUGAGUUAAUAUGUAUAUAUAUGAAGAUAAGCCUUUAAAUUGUUAAUGUUCUUUUGCUAAACCCUUACUCAAUUGUUUAAGCGUCCCAAAAUCUUUGAGUCGACUAUGUCUGAUUAGACUUAAAUUUUGACAAAAAAACAAGAAACUAAAUAAAAUAUUUGCAACCAGAUUUGGUUAUGCUCGGUUUUUUAGGUUUUCGCUUAUAUUUGGAUUCCGUUCUAUUUCAGCUAAAAAGACAUUUAAGUUUGGUUCGGUCUAGUUUCGUUUUGAUAUAAACGCCUAUAUUGUUUUAUGUCUAUAAUAUUCUGGUUGAUCGAUGUGACCUUGGUUUCCACAGGUGGCUGAGAAGAAUGCACCGAUGCAAAAGUACAGAAUCGCAGCGGCCGGGGUAAAGAAGUUGUCAGACGACAAGUCAGUGGUGUGUCACAAACAGAAGUACCCAUUCGCGGUGUUCUACUGCCACAAGGCGAUGAUGACGAGCGUUUACGCGGUUCCCCUCGAAGGAGAGAAUGGGUUGCGGGCCAAAGCGGUUGCGGUAUGCCACAAGAACACCUCGGCGUGGAACCCAAACCACUUGGCCUUUAAAGUCCUUAAGGUGAAGCCUGGGACUGUUCCAGUCUGCCACUUCCUCCCUGAAACCCAUGUUGUUUGGUUCAGCUACUAGAUAUGCUUUUCUAUAUUAUGUAAUAAUGUAUACGAAGAUAUAUAUUCUGGGAUGUUUUGUAUGUAUACAUAUAUAUAGUAAUGUGUGGUUUUGAAUCUUUUUACCUCUGUGUAGCGACACAAGGUUCGGAAGCUAUGUCUACGGUCUAACAAAGCAAGUGUGAAGAGUUUUAUCUCCUGUGUUUAAUCAUCAAGAAUUGUACAUGGGAAAAAAAAGAAAGAACGAAUUGUACAUGAGAAGGAGAACACAUAGAAAAGAGUCACGAGGUUUUGAUAGUUUCUAUAAUACAGUGCCAUACAAAGAACAUGUCCAUCCAACCCCGAC